RNAcentral lists this ribosomal RNA (858 nucleotides) under Hydrocina chaetocladia. Its description in RNAcentral is "eukaryotic LSU rRNA". It matches the Rfam family "Eukaryotic large subunit ribosomal RNA", at positions 71 to 946 of the family's 3401-position model. Lineage: Eukaryota; Fungi; Ascomycota; Leotiomycetes; Helotiales. The record is from RNAcentral.
GGGAUUACCUCAGUAACGGCGAGUGAAGCGGUAACAGCUCAAAUUUGAAAUCUGGCUCUUUCAGGGUCCGAGUUGUAAUUUGUAGAAGAUGCUUCGGGUGUGGCUCCGGUCUAAGUUCCUUGGAACAGGACGUCAUAGAGGGUGAGAAUCCCGUAUGUGACUGGGUGCCUUCGCUCAUGUGAAGCUCUUUCGACGAGUCGAGUUGUUUGGGAAUGCAGCUCAAAAUGGGUGGUAAAUUUCAUCUAAAGCUAAAUAUUGGCCAGAGACCGAUAGCGCACAAGUAGAGUGAUCGAAAGAUGAAAAGCACUUUGGAAAGAGAGUUAAACAGUACGUGAAAUUGUUGAAAGGGAAGCGCUUGCAACCAGACUUGCCCGCCGUCGAUCAUCCGGGGUUCUCCCCGGUGCACUCGGCGGCGUUCAGGCCAGCAUCGGUUUCGGGGGUGGGAUAAAGGCCUUGGGAAUGUAGCUUCUUUCGGGGAGUGUUAUAGCCCUCGGUGCAAUGCCGCCACCCGGGACCGAGGACCGCGCUUCGGCUAGGAUGCUGGCGUAAUGGUUGUAAGCGACCCGUCUUGAAACACGGACCAAGGAGUCUAACAUCUAUGCGAGUGUUUGGGUGUCAAACCCAUACGCGUAAUGAAAGUGAACGGAGGUGAGAACCCUUAAGGGCGCAUCAUCGACCGAUCCUGAUGUCUUCGGAUGGAUUUGAGUAAGAGCAUAGCUGUUGGGACCCGAAAGAUGGUGAACUAUGCGUGAAUAGGGUGAAGCCAGAGGAAACUCUGGUGGAGGCUCGCAGCGGUUCUGACGUGCAAAUCGAUCGUCAAAUUUGCGUAUAGGGGCGAAAGACUAAUCGAACCAUCUA